GGGAAGGAAUGGAGAAUCGUUUGGCAUCUGGGUUCUGUUUCACUUCUUUGUUAUAUUAAGCUUCUGUAUGACUAACCUUCUCCCACAGUGUUUCCCAAGAUGGUAUGCCAUGGAACGUUGGUCCGUGGCCAAUAAGCAGCGUCAUGGGAGCAAAAGUGCCCAAUGCUCAAGUGUAGGAGAUGCCAAUGUACACAGACUUCUUUAUUAUAGAGUUUUCGAUGCAGUAAACAGGCAACCUGUGCUCGAGUCCCUAUUUACUGCACACCGUGCACAGUAUGUGGCACUUGCUAAAGUCAUUCGGAAACGCUGUGGGAGCAACUUCUUGAAUGGCGCUCUGCAGAGCAUCGGUCUGAGAACGCUGGCGUGGAACACAGCUCGGGAGACCCGGGAGUGUCACCCUUCGCUCUGCCACCGGCUAGCUGGGCGGCCUUGGGCAAGCACCUCUAGCUUCCUCAUUCUCUGUCUCUUCAUCUUCAGAGAGGGGCAAGAAUGAUCCCACCUCUCAGCGCUGCAGGUGAAUGUCAGCCCGGAAGCAAGAACUCUGCAGGGGCCACAGCCGAGCGUAAAGACUGGGCAGGACCUGGUGAAGCUGUGCCCUAGAAAACCGGUGUCCCACCCCCAGGGGCGGGGCCAAACUUGCUCAUAUACACAAAGAAGCUGCGAGGAUAUUUACGGCAGCCGUGUAGCCAGGUGUCGUGUAGCGAGAUGUUGAAGUGACAUUUCAGCAGAGGAGCCGAGAUCCAGUGGACACCACCAUCCAAAGGUGCUGCUAGACCACGGGCAGAAUUCACCGAGGAGGUUCCCAAGAGACGUCCUCACUCCCUCAUCCAUGUUCUGGGAACUCCUGGAGGGGCAGAGGGGAAGAAGCUACCACUCGGAACACCUUUACCCAGCAGUCUCUACCCCCAACGCGGGGCUGGAACGCGCAGCCCCGAGAUCACGGGGCACAUGCUCCUCCGACUGAGCCAGCCAGGCGACCGCAAGCCGAAUUCCCCAAGGGCAUCUGAUCUGAUCACUGGCUUCCACACCAUACGCAAACUACAGUGUCAUUUGCCAAUGAUCCAGGUGAGAAAAAAAAAAAAAAUGUAUGUGGAACAGAAUAUAGUGU
Felis catus (domestic cat) is the source of this 1108-nucleotide long non-coding RNA. RefSeq lists it as uncharacterized. The transcript has 3 exons. The record is from RefSeq and is a predicted model, not a curated record. Lineage: Eukaryota; Metazoa; Chordata; Mammalia; Carnivora; Felidae.